This 446-nucleotide long non-coding RNA is filed under the name Malus domestica (apple). Its description in RNAcentral is "long non-coding RNA (MDOM_LNC005202)". Lineage: Eukaryota; Viridiplantae; Streptophyta; Magnoliopsida; Rosales; Rosaceae. The record is from RNAcentral.
UCUAGGAUUCAUAUAGCCGACCCCACUUAGUGGGAAAAGGCUUUGUUGUUGUUGUUGUUGUUGUUGAUUGAUGAAAAUACCAAUUGAUGAUAAUACGACAAACAAAUGCUUAAUUAAAAAUUAUAGGCUAAUGUCAUGUGUUCUAUUGGUUGUAUACUUGAAUAACUAGCUCCUGGUUUAGGAGAAAAUCUCAUUGGUGGCUGAUAAUCUAUGGCCUUCUCUGUUGGAAGAAAUCUCCAGCUCGAAUCUCCUUUAUUCGCUGAUCUCGAAAGAAAUUAUUGAACUUUUAUGUAGCAGUUUAAAACCUUAUAAAGCUUUUAGAGUUGUAUAUCAAACAAUAUCUUGGAGUAAUUGGCCGAGUGAGGGGGUGGGUAAAUAAGCAAGUGCAUAGUACUGAUACAUAAUCAUUUAGUCUGUUGAUAUUCAGUUACUACUUUACUAAAUUA